This 70-nucleotide transfer RNA is filed under the name Hydrolycus scomberoides (payara). RNAcentral's name for it is "tRNA-Arg". It matches the Rfam family "tRNA". From Rfam's summary of the family: Transfer RNA (tRNA) molecules are approximately 80 nucleotides in length. Their secondary structure includes four short double-helical elements and three loops (D, anti-codon, and T loops). Lineage: Eukaryota; Metazoa; Chordata; Actinopteri; Characiformes; Characidae. The record is from RNAcentral.
AGGGGGUUAGUCCAAGCUAAGAUCUCUGAUUUCGACUCAGAAAAUCGUGGUUCAAUCCCACGACCUCCUC